GCACUUUCAGUCGUGAAGGAAGGCUAGGUGUAGUUACUAGGCUUGCAUGAUCUGACGUCAGCGACAGAGCAAGCAUCUGCUAACUCCCGUGCCAGCAGCCGCUGUAAUACGGAGGGUGCGAGCGUUAAUCGGAACUACUGGGCGUAAAGCGCAUGCAGGUGGUUGUUAAGUCAGAUGUGAAAGCCCGGGGCUCAACGUCGGAAUAGCAUUUGAAACUGGCAGACUAGAGUACUGUAGAGGGGGGUAGAAUCUCAGGUGUAGCGGUGAAAUGCGUAGAGAUCUGAAGGAAUACCGGUGGCGAAGGCGGCCCCCCUGGACAGAUACUGACACUCAGAUGCGAAAGCGUGGGGAGCAAACAGGAUUAGAUACCCUGGUAGUCCACGCCGUAAACGAUGUCUACUUGGAGGUUGUCGCCUUGAGCCGUGGCUUUCGGAGCUAACGCGUUAAGUAGACCGCCUGGGGAGUACGGUCGCAAGAUUAAAACUCAAAUGAAUUGACGGGGGCCCGCACAAGCGGUGGAGCAUGUGGUUUAAUUCGAUGCAACGCGAAGAACCUUACCUACUCUUGACAUCCAGAGAACUUUCCAGAGAUGGAUUGGUGCCUUCGGGAACUCUGAGACAGGUGCUGCAUGGCUGUCGUCAGCUCGUGUUGUGAAAUGUUGGGUUAAGUCCCGCAACGAGCGCAACCCUUAUCCUUGUUUGCCAGCGAGUAAUGUCGGGAACUCCAGGGAGACUGCCGGUGAUAAACCGGAGGAAGGUGGGGACGACGUCAAGUCAUCAUGGCCCUUACGAGUAGGGCUACACACGUGCUACAAUGGCGCAUACAGAGGGCGGCCAACUUGCGAAAGUGAGCGAAUCCCAAAAAGUGCGUCGUAGUCCGGAUUGGAGUCUGCAACUCGACUCCAUGAAGUCGGAAUCGCUAGUAAUCGUGGAUCAGAAUGCCACGGUGAAUACGUUCCCGGGCCUUGUACACACCGCCCGUCACACCAUGGGAGUGGGGUGCAAUACAGAGAGUACGAGUGAGUAUGUCGUAACAAGGUACCCAUGCUAUAGUGCC
This 1056-nucleotide ribosomal RNA is filed under the name Vibrio alginolyticus. RNAcentral describes it as "bacterial SSU rRNA". It matches the Rfam family "Bacterial small subunit ribosomal RNA", at positions 430 to 1514 of the family's 1533-position model. Lineage: Bacteria; Pseudomonadati; Pseudomonadota; Gammaproteobacteria; Vibrionales; Vibrionaceae. The record is from RNAcentral.